This 508-nucleotide ribosomal RNA is filed under the name uncultured bacterium. Its description in RNAcentral is "partial 16S ribosomal RNA". It matches the Rfam family "Bacterial small subunit ribosomal RNA", at positions 28 to 523 of the family's 1533-position model. The record is from RNAcentral.
GAUGAACGCUAGCUACAGGCUUAACACAUGCAAGUCGAGGGGAAACGACAUCGAAAGCUUGCUUUUGAUGGGCGUCGACCGGCGCACGGGUGAGUAACGCGUAUCCAACCUGCCCACCACUUGGGGAUAACCUUGCGAAAGUAAGACUAAUACCCAAUGGUAUCUCUAGAAGACAUCUGAAAGAGAUUAAAGAUUUAUCGGUGAUGGAUGGGGAUGCGUCUGAUUAGCUUGUUGGCGGGGUAACGGCCCACCAAGGCAACGAUCAGUAGGGGUGCUGAGAGGAAGGUCCCCCACAUUGGAACUGGGACGCGGUCCAAACUCCUACGGGAGGCAGCAGUGAGGAAUAUUGGUCAAUGGACGAGAGUCUGAACCAGCCAAGUAGCGUGCAGGAUGACGGCCCUAUGGGUUGUAAACUGCUUUUAUAAGGGAAUAAAGUGAGUCUCGUGAGGCUUUUUGCAUGUACCUUAUGAAUAAGGACCGGCUAAUUCCGUGCCAGCCGCCGCGGUAA